Long non-coding RNA from Mytilus trossulus (common blue mussel), 200 nucleotides. RefSeq lists it as uncharacterized. The transcript is spliced from 3 exons. The record is from RefSeq and is a predicted model, not a curated record. Lineage: Eukaryota; Metazoa; Mollusca; Bivalvia; Mytilida; Mytilidae.
CAGAAUACACAAGCGUCUGAUUUUGUGUAAUUAGGGGAUACAAUGUGUUGAUUUUUUCAAAGAUGAAAACAAAUGUUUCGAAUGCCGAAUUGUAAAAACACUGAAAUGUUAUUGGUGAUAAUAAUUCAGACAAUUGUUCAGUUGACCGUAGCCCAACAUAACCUUACACCAAACGGUAUGGCUUCGCAAAGUUCUAAUUA